Molecule: ribosomal RNA, 226 nt
Filed under: uncultured bacterium
Lineage: Bacteria
Description: partial 16S ribosomal RNA
Rfam family: Bacterial small subunit ribosomal RNA
Source: RNAcentral
CGGAACACGUACAGAACCUUCCUUUGAGCGGGGGAUAGCCCGAAGAAAUUCGGAUUAAUACCCCAUAGUAAUAUUAUCUGGCAUCAGAUGGUAUUUAAAGAUUUAUCACUUAAAGAUGGCUGUGCGGCUGAUUAGGUAGUUGGUGCGGGUAACGGCCCACCAAGCCAGCGAUCAGUAACUGGUGUGAGAGCACGACCAGUCACACGGGCACUGAGACACGGGCCCG